UAUCAGACCCUCCGCGGUCGGCGGCUCCGCCUUUUCUUCUCCAAUCUCCACCUCUCCCUUCCAUUGCCCGAUCUAAUGCCCAACUGCCCAAGAUUUGCAGAGAUUCUUGGCUUCUUGCAGAGUUGCAGACUGGAGUGACCGAGUGAAUGAGUGAUUGGCUGAUUGCCUGGGUUUCUGGAAGAGUUCUAGGCUUCUGGCCCUCCAUCACUCCAUAGCUCCAUGAAUUAUAAUAUGAGGCUGAACUGUAGAAAGAAGGGGAUCCUGGACAACUAAUUAGCCUAGACAG
This is a long non-coding RNA of Rosa rugosa (rugosa rose), 286 nucleotides long. RefSeq lists it as uncharacterized. NCBI's taxonomy places the organism in Eukaryota, Viridiplantae, Streptophyta, Magnoliopsida, Rosales, Rosaceae. The record is from RefSeq and is a predicted model, not a curated record. The transcript is spliced from 3 exons.